Vulpes vulpes (red fox) is the source of this 1669-nucleotide long non-coding RNA. The record is from Ensembl. Lineage: Eukaryota; Metazoa; Chordata; Mammalia; Carnivora; Canidae.
AAGGAUUAUUAUUGAAGCAACUUUCAAUCUAUUUCAAAUCCAUUUUUUGAAUUAAGGAAGGAUGAAUUUGGCUUUACCUUUUAACCACAGGGUUCUGAGAAUCCCCAGGCGAAUCUGCCUUCUUUGCUUCUUCCCACACAGACUCAGAAAUCUUAAAUAUGAAUAGACUUUCUGGCCUGUAUUAAACAUUUUGGCCUGUGUUGGGGCAAAUGGAGAUAUUGGGAUCCUGUUGGACACAGCAAAAAAUGGAGCAGAAACCCAAACUACCUAACUUUGGAAACAGUGUCAAGAGUCUAGAGCAAGGACUAGAGUGAACAAAUGUAAAAGCAGAAAUUAAAUUUAGAUCCCUAGAACUUUUAGAAUAUUAAGGUAGUAUAGAGUUGUAAUGAUUGUCUGGUCCAAUCCAUUUUGGUGAGAUGACUUCCACAAAGUCACAAAAUUGCCACUGGCCAAACAGAUGUUGAAAUUUUGUUCUCUUGAGCUAUUCCUUGAACUUUUCUUCCCUUAGCAUCUGAUUCAGAAACCCUGGGCACGGGGUCUGGCUCUCUUGUUAACCACAUCUGUGAUCUUGUGCAAAUCACUGAUUGUCACUGAAACUCAUUUUCCCCAUCUGAAAAAUGGGGAUAAUAAUACCUUUCAGAUUGUUGUUGAUUAAAUGGAUUUGGAAGCCCUGUGUAGAAGUAAAGCACAUGGAGAUGUUAUUAAAGCUGUGGAAUCAAGCUAAGUCUAGUUGGAUGUACUCAUAUUCUUUAGGAAAUUUCAUGCUAGAUCUCCACUUGACUUCUUCCAGAACACUAUGGGUGUGAAUCUGAAGUCCAUUAAUAUGUCACACAAUAAGAGGUGGUGAGGUGGUCAGCCAUUAUUACCUCAGUAACAUCAUCUCCAAGGGCCCACUUUUGAUCUGGAAGGAAAAUGACUCUUGGAAGUUGCUGCAAGUAUUAUGGAAUAGCUCGGAUCAUCAAGACGUUGCCAGUUUAUACAUCCUGUGCAAGAUGUGUGGGGCUGAGACAACUGUCAAAAGGAGGUGUGUGUGUGUGUGUGUGUGUGUGUGUGUGUGUGGUUGCAGUUAUGUGUAUGUGUGGUUGUGGUUGUGUGUAUAUGAUUGUGGUUGUGUGUGUUGUGUGUGUGUGUGGUUGUGGUUAUGUGUGUGUGAGUUUGCAGUUAUGCAUAUGUCUAGUUGUGUGAUUGUGUGUAUAUGGUUGUGGUUGUGCAUGUGUGUGGUGUUGUGUGUGUGGUUGUAUAUGUGUGUGGGCACUUGCAGUUAAGUGUAUGUGUGGUUUUGUGAUUGUGUGUUUAUGGUUGUGGUUGUAUAUGUGGUUGUGCAUGUGUGGUGUUGUGUAUUGUGGUGCGUGUGUGUGGUUGUGUGUAUGUGUGUGUCAUGAGGAUAAGAAAGACCAGGAUUAGAUAAGAUCCACAGUAAGAGACUCCAUUUUUCCCUUUCUUUCCCCCACCCCUUUUUCCUUUUCUCUCUUCUCCUUGCUAUUUCUGCCUUCUCUUUUCUCUUCCCCAUUUUAUUUUAUGUCCCCUUUUCACAUCUAGUAUUCUUUUCCUUUCCCUGCCAUCUCUUUUAUACACAGUUAUGGGAUUUUUUUUUAGGGUUUUAUGCUUUUUGAAAGCAAGUUUAGAAGAACUCAUGUGAAUUACUAGAGUGCUUCAAAUCAGAGUUCUA